Molecule: ribosomal RNA, 253 nt
Filed under: uncultured bacterium
Lineage: Bacteria
Description: partial 16S ribosomal RNA
Rfam family: Bacterial small subunit ribosomal RNA
Source: RNAcentral
UACGGGGGGGGUAAGCGUUGUUCGGAAUUACUGGGCGUAAAGGGCUCGUAGGCGGCCAACUAAGUCGGACGUGAAAUCCCUCAGCUUAACUGGGGAACUGCGUCCGAUACUGGAUGGCUUGGAUUUGGGAGAGGGAUGCGGAAUUCCAGGUGUAGCGGUGAAAUGCGUAGAUAUCUGGAGGAACACCGGUGGCGAAGGCGGCAUCCUGGACCAGCACUGACGCUCAUGCACGAAAGCGUGGGGAGCAAACAGG